GACGAACGCUGGCGGCGUGCUUAAUACAUGCAAGUCGAAGGGGUUGUAGUCUUCGGACUGCAAUCACUGGCGCACGGGUGAGUAACACGUAAGUAAUCUGCCCUCGGGUCUGACAUAACUCCGGGAAACCGGAGCUAAUAGCAGAUGACAUGGGAACAUCAAAGGAUCAGCGCAAGCUGAUCUGCCCGGGGAUGAGCUUGCGUCUGAUAGCUAGUUGGCGGGGUAACGGCCCACCAAGGCGACGAUCAGUAGCCGGUCUGAGAGGAUGAUCGGCCACAUUGGGACUGAGACACGGCCCAGACUCCUACGGAGCAGCAGUAAGGAAUAUUGCGCAAUGGACGAAAGUCUGACGCAGC
RNAcentral lists this ribosomal RNA (356 nucleotides) under uncultured bacterium. RNAcentral's name for it is "bacterial SSU rRNA". It matches the Rfam family "Bacterial small subunit ribosomal RNA", at positions 28 to 392 of the family's 1533-position model. The record is from RNAcentral.